Long non-coding RNA from Populus euphratica (Euphrates poplar), 571 nucleotides. RefSeq lists it as uncharacterized. The record is from RefSeq and is a predicted model, not a curated record. The transcript has 2 exons. Lineage: Eukaryota; Viridiplantae; Streptophyta; Magnoliopsida; Malpighiales; Salicaceae.
GAGGUAUAGUCUUCCAAGCUCUUCAUAUCCAUUUCCCCAAAACCACAGUUAAAUAUCUCACAAUCUUUACCUGAAUUAACUGGAAUUGGAUUUGAUCUAUUCAAAUUUGACCUGCAAACGGCAUACUUAGCCAAAACUUCAUGCCCCACAUCAGUCUUAGAAGGCUUGUCAAGGGCUGCAACAAUACCCAAUCCAACCCCACCGAGAUCAUGGUAAUUCUUUAGACCUUUUGGUGAGUGGUUUUUGAAGUCCAGUGGACUUCUAGGACUGGUGUUAGCAUCCAUGAAUUUGGCACGGGUGCCUGCGACCAAUAAUUCCGACAAUCUUCCGAUCAUAGGAUUUGUUCUCUUGCCUAACAUCGUUAAGAUUUAUGUAAAUCUUUAUGAAAAAAGAUUAGAUGUUGGGGUGGUUUAUGUAGGAAAAAGAUAAUCACCGCAAAUGAGUUGAUUUGAUAUCUUAGGCAAGUAGGCCUAGCUCUUUCCAAUUUAUUUUAUUAUUAUGGAGUAGGUGGACCUGGGGCCAUGCUUUUUUGGAAUUAUAUAAUAAUGACGAUUCAAUUUUGAUUGUUUGC